This 301-nucleotide ribosomal RNA is filed under the name uncultured bacterium. RNAcentral describes it as "partial 16S ribosomal RNA". It matches the Rfam family "Bacterial small subunit ribosomal RNA", at positions 509 to 807 of the family's 1533-position model. The record is from RNAcentral.
CAGUAGCCGCGGUAAUACGUAGGUGGCAAGCGUUAUCCGGAAUUAUUGGGCGUAAAGCGCGCGUAGGCGGUUUUUUAAGUCUGAUGUGAAAGCCCACGGCUCAACCGUGGAGGGUCAUUGGAAACUGGAAAACUUGAGUGCAGAAGAGGAAAGUGGAAUUCCAUGUGUAGCGGUGAAAUGCGCAGAGAUAUGGAGGAACACCAGUGGCGAAGGCGACUUUCUGGUCUGUAACUGACGCUGAUGUGCGAAAGCGUGGGGAUCAAACAGGAUUAGAUACCCGCGUAGUCCCUGUCUCUUAUAC